UUCCGGUUGAUCCUGCCAGACCUGACUGCUAUCGGAUUGAUACUAAGCCAUGCGAGUCAUUGUAGCAAUACAAGGCAUACGGCUCAGUAACGCGUAGUCAACCUAACCUAUGGACGGGAAUAACCUCGGGAAACUGAGAAUAAUUCCCGAUAGAACAUUAUACCUGGAAUGGUUUAUGUUUCAAAUGAUUUAUCGCCGUAGGAUGGGACUGCGGCCUAUCAGUUUGUUGGUGAGGUAAUGGCCCACCAAGACUAUUACAGGUACGGGCUCUGAGAGGAGUAGCCCGGAGAUGGGUACUGAGACACGGACCCAGGCCCUAUGGGGCGCAGCAGGCGAGAAAACUUUGCAAUGUGCGAAAGCACGACAAGGUUAAUCCGAGUGAUUUGUGCUAAACGAAUCUUUUGUUAGUCCUAGAAACACUAACGAAUAAGGGGUGGGCAAGUUCUGGUGUCAGCCGCCGCGGUAAAACCAGCACCUCAAGUGGUCAGGAUGAUUAUUGGGCCUAAAGCAUCCGUAGCCGGCUCUGUAAGUUUUCGGUUAAAUCUGUACGCUCAACGUACAGGCUGCCGGGAAUACUGCAAAGCUAGGGAGUGGGAGAAGUAGACGGUACUCGGUAGGAAGUGGUAAAAUGCUUUGAUCUAUCGAUGACCACCUGUGGCGAAGGCGGUCUACUAGAACACGUCCGACGGUGAGGGAUGAAAGCUGGGGGAGCAAACCGGAUUAGAUACCCGGGUAGUCCCAGCUGUAAACUAUGCAAACUCAGUGAUGCAUUGGCUUGUGGCCAAUGCAGUGCUGCAGGGAAGCCGUUAAGUUUGCCGCCUGGGAAGUACGUACGCAAGUAUGAAACUUAAAGGAAUUGGCGGGGGAGCACCACAAGGGGUGAAGCCUGCGGUUCAAUUGGAUUCAACGCCGGG
RNAcentral lists this ribosomal RNA (914 nucleotides) under uncultured archaeon. RNAcentral describes it as "bacterial SSU rRNA". It matches the Rfam family "Archaeal small subunit ribosomal RNA", at positions 1 to 922 of the family's 1478-position model. The record is from RNAcentral.